UUAAAUCCCCUCCUUAUUCUCUUCAAACAAGAAAAAAACCUAACUCUUCAUCUUCUCACAGAACCAAACAAAACCUCCUCUUCAUCUCACAGAUCCAAACCCAUGGCUUCUCCUAAUUGGGAUAUCUCCAUCUACGGGACAAAUGACCAUAACAACUUCCAUGUAUGUUGAAAAGUGAAGAGUUAUAUUUGUAAUUGACCCGAUCCUUAUAUGGCAUUAUCAGAAGGCGGCACUUGCUGGCCAAAACUAUUUGAAUGGGGUCUCGCCUAUAGUGAAUUUUUUUUUGCCAUGUCUUCUAGUGCCUCUUGAGUAUGAAUAUUUUCAAUUAGAUGGGGAAAAUUUUGGACGCGGCUCUGGACGAUAUAUCAACAUACACCUAUUGUAGGGCUGCUGAUAUGAAUGGCUGCUCACUUUUCAUGAUAAUAUACGUUGUGCACUUUGUUUAGUUAGGUGAUUUUCAUGUAAUUAGUAUCGUUGACCAUUAUAGAUAGUAAUUUGUAAUGUGAUAUGGCUAUUUAAUAGAAAUUUAUCCACUAACCAUUUCCCA
This is a long non-coding RNA of Helianthus annuus (common sunflower), 547 nucleotides long. RefSeq lists it as uncharacterized. The transcript is spliced from 3 exons. NCBI's taxonomy places the organism in Eukaryota, Viridiplantae, Streptophyta, Magnoliopsida, Asterales, Asteraceae. The record is from RefSeq and is a predicted model, not a curated record.